RNAcentral lists this long non-coding RNA (524 nucleotides) under Serinus canaria (Common canary). RNAcentral's name for it is "lncRNA (ENSSCAG00000007504.1)". Lineage: Eukaryota; Metazoa; Chordata; Aves; Passeriformes; Fringillidae. The record is from RNAcentral.
GUGCAGGGAUGCCAGUGCGGUGGCACUGAUGGCAGUGUCACGCUGCCACAGGGGAGGAGGCCCAGCUGACACAGGAGAAGAUGGAGUCACUGAGGAUGCGGUACCUCAUCGUGGGCCAGAGCAGUGCUGACACCGCUCACCGGCUGGGGCAGACCCUCGAGGCCUCGUCUCGCCUGGGCACGGCCCCUGAGGACCUGGCACUGUGGCUGAGCCGCAUGGAGAAGGAGCUGGGCGAGCAGGAGAGCCAGCAGGAUGGCCAGGAGCCCUCAGUCACUGCCAGUGACAGGGAGAAGUUUGAGCAGGUCCUGGAGUCCCAGCUCAGCCGUGUGGCGGGGCUGGGCGAGCGGCUGGAGGAGAUCGGCCGCGUGCAGCUGGAUGCUGAGGCUCUCCGCUCGCAGCUCUCCGAGCAGAAGCUGCUCUCCGCCGAGAUCCUGCACUGCCGGGGCCUGGUUGAGCGUCUGCUGGGGUUCUCGGAGCCGCUGCUGCGCUGCUGCCCCGAGCCCCUGCGGCAGCGCCUUCAGGUG